Molecule: long non-coding RNA, 2248 nt
Organism: Heterocephalus glaber (naked mole-rat)
Lineage: Eukaryota; Metazoa; Chordata; Mammalia; Rodentia; Bathyergidae
Source: Ensembl
AGAAAGGAAGAGGAAGUCGAGGAUCCGCGAGCGGGUGGGUGCGCCUCGGGCUGCGGGAGUCUCUGCUGCCGCUGCCGCCACCGCUGCCGCCUCUACGGCCGCGUCAGAACUGAAGAGAGGAAGGGGAGGAGCCCAGCUGAGCCUAAACUGCCGCCUGAUCUUACCCCUGACCCGAGGGCCGCAGAGAGAGUUUGCUCUGUAGCGGUUUCCUCCGAGGCAGGUAGCGACUGCUCCUUUGGGAACAAGAAGGAGCCAGGCGGUGGGGCCGGGCUGGGGCGCGCACCACCCCAAGGUGAGGCAUGUGGCCCCGGACAGGCCCUGGAAAAGCCAACUCAUGGAGAAGUUGUGCUACUGCCUGAUCGUUGCACCUGCUCUGGGGAGCGAGCGCCCCGCCCUUCCCGUGGCGUGGGGUGAGACCUAGCGCGGGGUGACUUGCGGUCGGGCCGAGCAAAGGUUUGCUUAAUGAACGAAUGCCUCUUUCGCUUGGCCCUCGCGGAACUCUUCGGAGGAUGAAAGCGCAAGCGCUUUGUAAACUGCAGCGCGUUGGAAAGAUGAGAAUUGCAAUGCACCCGUCCCCUCCCCCGAGCCGUGAAAGGAAACAGGGAAAUUAAUAGAUGAUGUCCUGAUCUGGAGGACUAUGACCCAUCCAUAUGCGCAUGCUAUCUCUGAGGAAAUGCAAGAGCUCAGCGUGGCUGCAUCUAAGGAGGCCACCAGAUGAGAAGGGAAGAAAUCCAGCAUCUCCACCUCAUCAUUAUUUUCAAGUUUCAAGGAGCCCUGUCCACCAUGCUGGGCACAGAUCUAGGCAUUCUGCAAAGAUAUUAAGUCCUGAGUACUGGAUACUACACCUGUUUUGACAUACUCUACCCCAUGGAGUCUUGUGUUCUGCCCUCCUUGAUCCCGCAAUCUUAAGGUUCAUCUCCAGGCACAUCUCUCUGUUACUGGAGCUGCUGUUGGGUCCACUGCUGGUUGAGCUGAAGAGCCAGAGGGGUCUUAUACAUCACAAACAUGGUGACCCCAACCCAGCCCUGUGGAUGGGGGCAUAGAGAAGAGGACUGGGUUGACCCCUGAAAGAUGUCACUACACUUGGAGUGACGCUGCUAUCAGCAAGUGUGUAGAGAUGACCUGUUCCUUUGUCCUUGGAGCGUAUUCUUCAAAGGAGAAUGACUGGGUCUCGGAGCUGGAACAGUUUCCUGAGCUAUUCCUGAGACUGUGAGCUGGGUCUUGCUGACUCUGAGAGAGGAAAUCAGCUACCGGUCUGGCAACUCUCAAGAAUCUCUUCCUUAUCUCCCUGAUAUCCUUUUGAAGUCAUGGCCUCAGUCCAGAAUUGUCCUCUACCUUUGAGUUCCUUAGUCCCUGCAUUAGGGAGUUGGACAGGAGUCAGCACGAGCUCACAGGAAAUGGAGGAGAGGGUAGCAAGAAUCAGAACCUAGGAAGUCCUAGGUUGGCACUGUCCAGGCUGACACAGGUCAGAGGCCUGUAGCACGCACCUCAGGAGGGAGAAAGUGAGGCAUCAGCCAAGAAAAAAGUCAGAGAUCUCCAACUGACUAGAAGAAAUCACCAAGAGUGAUUUCACCAUGGGUGGACAAACUACUGCAACUCAGGGUCCUGGCUAGGCAAAGAGCCAACGUGGGCACGGGUCCAUGUGUCUAUGUGGAUCAUCAGAGUAGACGAACAGCACAGCCCAGCCGAAGCACCAGGAGGAUAAGCCGAGGUUGGAGCCCAUGCAGCGAGGAAAGCAUUUGGCAUAUACUGCCAAACAUUGCCUUUUUUCUCACUCUGUUGUGAUGGCCACGUGUUGUUUUAAAAUUGUUUCAUUUACAAAGGGGCUGUCGGAGCAGGACUCUUGGUUCUAAGUCAGAAGUCUCACCCUUCUGUCUUAUUUUUAUAAGCACACAGUGAGGGCCGGCCUGGCCUGGCAGGCGUAUCCGUGUCCCCGGCAAGGGUGCACUCUGCUUAUCCCAGACCUGGCGCUGCAGCCCGGGCAGGAGCAACACACCCUGGAGGAUCCCCCCGGGAGGAACUAAUAAAGUUCUCCCAUAAGCAUGUAAUGGAGGGGAAGGUCCUUUCCUUGCAGCUCUUGUUGUUUUACACACUUCACCUAAUUUUAAGGGUACAAAGGAAACGGCAGUUGGCUUCUGAGUUGCGGGGAAAAGAGCUAAAAGCAAAUAAGUAGUUGGGAAAUUGUCUUGACGUUAUGGAAUGAACAAGACCUUAAUGUGUAAUAGAGGGGCUGACAACUGCUCUGGGG